GAAACGCGAUAGUUAAUGUGAAUUGCAGAAUUCGGUGAAUCAUCGAGUCUUUGAACGCACAUUGCGCCCAUAGGUAUUCCUUUGGGCAUGUCUGUUUGAGCGUCAUUACAACCCUCAGCUAACCGCUGGUUUUGAACCUGAACGGGUGACACCGCGCCGGUUUUAAAGUUGUAAGCUCUGCUGGCCGCUCUGCCCAACCAGAACAUAGUAAGCACUACUUGUCCGGGUGAAGCUGAACGGUACGGCCUGAACAAAACCUACCCACUCUCAAGGUUUGACCUCAGAUCAGACAAGGAUACCCGCUGAACUUAAGC
RNAcentral lists this unclassified non-coding RNA (314 nucleotides) under plant metagenome. RNAcentral's name for it is "partial contains 5.8S ribosomal RNA, internal transcribed spacer 2, and large subunit ribosomal RNA". The stretch from base 1 to 105 matches the Rfam family "5.8S ribosomal RNA", at positions 50 to 154 of the family's 154-position model. The record is from RNAcentral.